GCAAACGGGUGCGGAACACGUACGCAACUUCCUUUAAGCGGAGAAUAGCCCAGGGAAACUUGGAUUAAUACUCCAUAAGAUUAUGGUGUGGCAUCACACAGUAAUUAAAGCUCCGGCACUUAAAGAUGGGCGUGCGGCUGAUUAGGUAGUUGGCGGGGUAACGGCCCACCAAGCCUACGAUCAGUAACUGGUGUGAGAGCACGACCAGUCACACGGGCACUGAGACACGGGCCCGACUCCUACGGGAGGCAGCAGUAAGGAAUAUUGGUCAAUGGACGCAAGUCUGAACCAGCCAUGCCGCGUGGAGGAUGAAGGCCCUCUGGGUUGUAAACUUCUUUUAUCUGGGAAGAAACCCAUCUUUUCUAAGGUGGUUGACGGUACCAGUUGAAUAAGCACCGGCUAACUCCGUGCCAGCAGCCGCGGUAAUACGGAGGGUGCAAGCGUUAUCCGGAUUCACUGGGUUUAAAGGGUGCGUAGGUGGGCAGGUAAGUCAGUGGUGAAAUCUCCGGGCUUAACCCGGAAACUGCCGUUGAUACUAUCUGUCUUGAAUGUGAGUGGGAGGUGAGCGGGAAUAUUGUCAUGUGAGCCGGUGAAAA
This 596-nucleotide ribosomal RNA is filed under the name uncultured bacterium. Its description in RNAcentral is "bacterial SSU rRNA". It matches the Rfam family "Bacterial small subunit ribosomal RNA", at positions 98 to 687 of the family's 1533-position model. The record is from RNAcentral.